AGGGAAUCUUCCGCAAUGGGCGCAAGCCUGAUGCAGCGACGCCGCGUGGAGGAUGAAGGCCUUCGGGUCGUAAACUCCUGUCUGGGGGGAUGAAAACUGACAGUACCCCCGGAGGAAGCCCCGGCUAACUACGUGCCAGCAGCCGCGGUAAUACGUAGGGGGCGAGCGUUGUCCGGAAUUACUGGGCGUAAAGCGCGCGCAGGCGGCUUGUUAAGUCAGGUGUCAAAAUGCGGGGCUCAACCCCGUAUCGCACUUGAAACUGGCAGGCUUGAGUGCAGGAGAGGGAAGUGGAAUUCCUAGUGUAGCGGUGAAAUGCGUAGAUAUUAGGAGGAACCCCAGUGGCGAAGGCGACUUCCUGGACUGUAACUGACGCUGAGGCGCGAAAGCUAGGGGAGCAAAC
Molecule: ribosomal RNA, 400 nt
Filed under: uncultured bacterium
Lineage: Bacteria
Description: bacterial SSU rRNA
Rfam family: Bacterial small subunit ribosomal RNA
Source: RNAcentral